AAGGAUCAUUACCGAGUGUUGGACCGAAAGGUCCGCCUCCCACCCAUUGUCAAUUCUACCUGUUGCUUCGGCGAGGCGUCGUCUUUUUUCUAGAUGGCCGUCGGCUAACGCGGACGAGUUCUCGCCGAAGGAUUUUCGAAACUCUGUACCAGUCGUCUGAGUAAAAAACAAAAAAGUAAAAACUUUCAACAACGGAUCUCUUGGUUCUG
RNAcentral lists this unclassified non-coding RNA (209 nucleotides) under uncultured fungus. RNAcentral's name for it is "partial contains 18S rRNA, ITS1, 5.8S rRNA, ITS2 and 28S rRNA". The record is from RNAcentral. Lineage: Eukaryota; Fungi.